GACUCGCGACAACAGAUAUCUCUGCUUUCGCAUCGAUGAAGAAUGUAGCGAAAUGCAAUACUUGGUGCAGAAUCCCAUGAACCAUUGAGUCUUUGAACGCAAGUUGCACCCGAAUCCAUUAGGCCGAGGGCACGUCUGCCUAGGUGUCA
This 149-nucleotide ribosomal RNA is filed under the name Solanum tuberosum (potato). RNAcentral describes it as "rRNA 5_8S_rRNA". It matches the Rfam family "5.8S ribosomal RNA". Rfam says of the family: 5.8S ribosomal RNA (5.8S rRNA) is a component of the large subunit of the eukaryotic ribosome. The record is from Rfam by way of RNAcentral. Lineage: Eukaryota; Viridiplantae; Streptophyta; Magnoliopsida; Solanales; Solanaceae.